GGGGAAUUUUCCGCAAUGGGCGAAAGCCUGACGCAGCGACACCGCGUGAAGGAUGAAUGCCUUCGGGUUGUAAACUUCUGAAAAUAGCACCGGCUAACUACGUGCCAGCAGCAGCGGUCAUACGUAGGGUGCAAGCAUUAUUCGGAUUUACUGGGCGUAAAGAGUUCUGUAGGCGGUAAUAUAAGUCAUAGGUUAAAUCUUUGGGCCUAACCCAAAGACUGCUUCUGAUACUGUAUUACUAGAGACAUCUAGGGGAUAGCAGAACAUAUGGUGGAGCGGUGAAAUGCGUUGAUAUCAUACGGAACACCAAGGGGGAAGCCAGCUAUCUGGGGAUGUUCUGACGCUGAGAGACGAAAGCGUGGGGAGCGAAACGGAUUAGAUACCCGUGUAGUCCACGCCCCAAACAAUGCCUGCUAGAUGCUCCGUUUUAAUGGGGUGUCGAAGCUAACGCGUUAAGCAGGCCGCCUGGGGAGUACGGUCGCAAGGUUAAAACUCAAAGGAAUUGGCGGGGACCCGCACAAGCGGUGGAGCAUGCUCUUUAAUUGGCUGCUAACCCAAAAACCUUACCAAGGCUUGACAUGUAACUGCAAAUCCGGUGAAAGCCGGACUCCUUCGAGGGUGUUACACAGGUGUUGCAUGGCUGUCGUCAGCCCGUACCGUAAGGCGUACCCUUAAGUGGGUUAACGAGCGCAACCCUUAUUGCUAGUUGUAUCACUCUAGCGAAACUGCCGCCGCAAGGCGGAGGAAGGUGGGGAUGACGUCAAGUCGGUAUUGCCCUUAUGCCUUGGGCUAGAAGCAUACUACAAUGGCCGGUACAACGAGUCGCAAAGUCGAGAGGCUAAGCAAAUCUCUUAAAACCGGUCUCAGUUCAGAUUGAGGUCUGCAAUUCGACCUCAUGAAGUUGGAAUCGCUAGUAAUUGCAGGUC
RNAcentral lists this ribosomal RNA (926 nucleotides) under uncultured bacterium. RNAcentral's name for it is "bacterial SSU rRNA". It matches the Rfam family "Bacterial small subunit ribosomal RNA", at positions 356 to 1350 of the family's 1533-position model. The record is from RNAcentral.